UGAAACAAAAAGGAGGCUAAAAGAAGGUUCCUGGCAAAAUAGUAAAUACGUAUUAUAAUGCUGCCGGCCACAAGCGUCAGACCUGGUCACCGAGUUUUUUUUUUUUUUUUUUUUUU
This 116-nucleotide non-coding RNA is filed under the name uncultured eukaryote. The record is from RNAcentral.